UACAGAGGGUGCUAGCGUUGUUCGGAAUCAUUGGGCGUAAAGGGCGUGUAGGCGGUUUGUUAAGUCAUGUGUGAAAUCCCUCGGCUCAACCGGGGAACGACGCAUGAAACUGGCAAGCUAGAGUACCAAAGAGGGGGGUGGAAUUCCAGGUGUAGCGGUGAAAUGCGUAGAUAUCUGGAGGAACACCGGUGGCGAAGGCGGCAUUCUGGACCGACAUUGACGCUGAGGAGCGAAAGCCAGGGGAGCAAACGGG
This 253-nucleotide ribosomal RNA is filed under the name uncultured bacterium. RNAcentral describes it as "partial 16S ribosomal RNA". It matches the Rfam family "Bacterial small subunit ribosomal RNA", at positions 524 to 776 of the family's 1533-position model. The record is from RNAcentral.